This 175-nucleotide small RNA is filed under the name Gopherus agassizii (Agassiz's desert tortoise). RNAcentral describes it as "TUC338 (ENSGAGG00000023921.1)". Lineage: Eukaryota; Metazoa; Chordata; Testudines; Testudinidae. The record is from RNAcentral.
CUGAAAAAGUGCUAGGUUGACAGCCUCUAUUUAUCCACAGAACAGGUUUUCAUAGGCAGCUGCAGUGCAAACUUCCCCAAAUUGCCUGACUAUUGUGGCCCAGUUUUGACCUCAGUGAAUCACCUCACAUUUUCAGCACAAUUUAAUUUCCUUUUUCACUCAUUCCUUGGGAUCG